Molecule: ribosomal RNA, 496 nt
Filed under: uncultured bacterium
Lineage: Bacteria
Description: partial 16S ribosomal RNA
Rfam family: Bacterial small subunit ribosomal RNA
Source: RNAcentral
GAUGAACGCUGGCGGCGUGCCUAAUACAUGCAAGUCGAGCGAACAGACGAGGAGCUUGCUCCUCUAACGUUAGCGGCGGACGGGUGAGUAACACGUGGAUAACCUACCUAUAAGACUGGGAUAACUUCGGGAAACCGGAGCUAAUACCGGAUAAUAUAUUGAACCGCAUGGUUCAAUAGUGAAAGACGGUUUUGCUGUCACUUAUAGAUGGAUCCGCGCCGCAUUAGCUAGUUGGUAAGGUAACAGCUUACCAAGGCAACGAUGCGUAGCCGACCUGAGAGGGUGAUCGGCCACACUGGAACUGAGACACGGUCCAGACUCCACGGGAGGCAGCAGUAGGGAAUCUUCCGCAAUGGGCGAAAGCCUGACGGAGCAACGCCGCGUGAGUGAUGAAGGUCUUCGGAUCGUAAAACUCUGUUAUUAGGGAAGAACAAAUGUGUAAGUAACUAUGCACGUCUUGACGGUACCUAAUCAGAAAGCCACGGCUAACUACGUG